CAGAGAUUCUGAUGUGCUGAAGUCUGAGAACCACAGAUCCAAGGGGCCCUGAAGACACCGACCGUGUAAUGGUGGCCAAGGGAAUAAAGCCUGUUACCUUCAGAGCCGGGGGGAGGGGCAAAGGCAGCCACCAGGGUGGACCUUUGCUCAGGAGAGACUUCAUGCCCAAGAGGAACAUUUGAGGGAGACAGACAUGGGAUCCAGAAAGGUCACACUGAGGCCCAGAGUGAUGCCGAACUCCUCCUCUUCCCAAUCCCGGAAGCUGCCUGUGCCUCUUGGCCCCGAGUUCCUCCCACUCAGAGCAGCGUCCUCAGCUAAAGGGCCCAUGAGGGAUGCUAUGCAUUAAGUGGGAUUGAUGACAUCCGUAUACCAGCGAUGUGGGAAGCCACCUCAGUCUUCUGUGUGGAAAUCCACGAUGCCGUGAUUCUUAUUUGCAUCCUAAAUCAAGCAUCCCCUCCUUGAAGAAGCCAGUGGAGGCCCGGAGCAUGGACAGGGUGUUCUCAUUUCCCCAGAGUCUGGAGAGAGCGAGAGCUGGGAUUCCAUUCCAGCUAAACAUCCUAUUAUUCAUGCUGGGCAGCUCUUUCCUAAUAAAACCCCAAACCAUGUAAA
Long non-coding RNA from Mustela erminea (ermine), 609 nucleotides. RefSeq lists it as uncharacterized. The transcript is spliced from 2 exons. Lineage: Eukaryota; Metazoa; Chordata; Mammalia; Carnivora; Mustelidae. The record is from RefSeq and is a predicted model, not a curated record.